UUACAAGCCACGAGUUGUAAUAAAUACGGUAUCCAUAGGGAAUGAGUUUGGUAUUUUAUUUAUUACACACGAAUAAACGACCAUAUUUUAUUAACCCAAUAACUAAAUUCUUCACAUCGUGUUGAAGCGCGCAUGAAUACAGCUUGAUUUCACGUCAGUGACGUCACAAUGUGUAACUGUAAAAGAUGUCAUGCCGCAGGAAGAUAGUCCGACUUUAUAGCGCUAAGUUUUCAGGUGAAAUGACUGAUAACUGAUGACUGUUUAACAUUUUAUAUAUAUACCUUAAGAAUA
This is a long non-coding RNA of Octopus sinensis (East Asian common octopus), 291 nucleotides long. RefSeq lists it as uncharacterized. NCBI's taxonomy places the organism in Eukaryota, Metazoa, Mollusca, Cephalopoda, Octopoda, Octopodidae. The record is from RefSeq and is a predicted model, not a curated record. The transcript is spliced from 3 exons.